GGAGCUCCUUGCUUCAGCCAUGGUAGGCUUUGGUUUGGCAGUGCGCCGCAUAGUUUAGGUCCUAGUGAAGCCUCUACAACCGCUUGAGGUUGUUAGUUCGCCAUCGGCGAGCUUUGCGCCAUCAGUAGGCCUAGCGCCGCCCGCACUGCCGCUGCCUUCCGCCGUUCGUCAUCGCCGUCCACCCAACCACCACUAGAGUACAGUCAGUAGGUGCGCUGAGUUAACUCGAGUCGAGUCGUGGUGUUCCCUUCGCCGGAGGCCUCGCCGGCACGAACCACCACGGAUACCCACCAGCAGACCCGUGGUCAAGGCCGGGAGGGUGGUCUAUUGACCGGGCCCACGUGUCAGAGAGAGGAGUUAGGGCGGGGGUGAGUAGGAAAGGUUCCAAAAGGGGGUUUUCAGGAGAAAAUUGAUUUAUAGUUUUAGAAAAUAGAUUUAAAUUCUUUUUGCAUAUUUAAUUCUUUAUAAUUUAUAGAAUUAUCCAAAGUUAGUGAAAUCAAUUUCAUUAGGUGUAUUUUAUUUUUUUACGCAUUAAAAAUUCUUAAACCCUAGGAUAAGGUAAUAAAAAU
RNAcentral lists this long non-coding RNA (569 nucleotides) under Setaria viridis. Its description in RNAcentral is "long non-coding RNA (SVIR_LNC000737)". Lineage: Eukaryota; Viridiplantae; Streptophyta; Magnoliopsida; Poales; Poaceae. The record is from RNAcentral.